CUUGUAACCAUAAGAGGUCCAGCCUGCCCAGUGAUUUUAUUUAACGGCCGCGGUAUUCUAACCGUGCGAAGGUAGCGCAAUCACUUGUUUUCUAAAUAAAGACCAGUAUGAAAGGCAUCACGAGAACUUAACUGUCUCCUUUCUCCAAUCAGUGAACCUAAUCUCCCCGUGAAGAAGCGGGGAUCCCCCUAUAAGACGAGAAGACCCUGUGGAGCUUAAAAUAUAGUAUCAACUACUGCCCCAAUUACCCUCCCCACUUCCCCAGCGGCACCCUGAUCGCAUAUUUUUGGUUGGGGUGACCGCGGAGAAAAACUUACCCUCCGUGAUGAAAAAGAAUUCCCUUAAACAACAAGUUACAACUUUAUGUAUCAAAAAAUUGACAUUCAUUGACCCAAUAAAUUGAUUAACGAAC
Molecule: ribosomal RNA, 412 nt
Filed under: Pristimantis cf. marmoratus ABGD cluster 259
Lineage: Eukaryota; Metazoa; Chordata; Amphibia; Anura; Strabomantidae
Description: partial large subunit ribosomal RNA
Rfam family: Bacterial large subunit ribosomal RNA
Source: RNAcentral